AGUCUCUGACAGUGUAAGAGUAGUGGAUGGAAGGAAUUUCUGAAAAUUUUUAUUCUGAGACU
This 62-nucleotide small nucleolar RNA is filed under the name Sciurus vulgaris (Eurasian red squirrel). RNAcentral's name for it is "Small nucleolar RNA SNORD75 (ENSSVLG00005002633.1)". It matches the Rfam family "Small nucleolar RNA SNORD75". Rfam says of the family: U75 (SNORD75) belongs to the C/D class of snoRNAs which contain the C (UGAUGA) and D (CUGA) box motifs. Most of the members of the box C/D family function in directing site-specific 2'-O-methylation of substrate RNAs. This family includes the mouse orthologue Z19. The record is from Rfam by way of RNAcentral. Lineage: Eukaryota; Metazoa; Chordata; Mammalia; Rodentia; Sciuridae.